CUACGGGCCGCUGCAGUCGAGAAUAGUCUACAAUGGACGAAAGUCUGAUAGUGCAACGCCGCGUGGGUGAUGAAGCAUUUCGGUGUGUAAAACCCUUUUCUUUGUGAGCAAUGCCAUUAUGGUUAAUAGCUAUAGUGGAGCGAUAUUAGCAGAGGAAUAAGCCACGGCUAGACUCCGUGCCAGCAGCCGCGGUAACACGGGGGUGGCGAGCGUUGUCCGGAAUCACUAGGCGUAAAGGGCAGGUAGGCGGAAUAUCUAGUCAUUUGUUAAAGGCAUUGGCUCAACCAAUGUACGGCAUAUGAUACUGGUAUUCUAGAAUUUGGUAUGGGAAGACGGAAUUCCUGGUGUAGCGGUGGAAUGCGCAGAUAUCAGGAAGAACACCGGAGGCGAAGGCGGUCUUCUGGGCCAAAAUUGACGCUCAACUGCGAAGGUGUGGGUAUCAAACAGGAUUAGAUACCCGCGUAGUC
This 467-nucleotide ribosomal RNA is filed under the name uncultured bacterium. RNAcentral's name for it is "partial 16S ribosomal RNA". It matches the Rfam family "Bacterial small subunit ribosomal RNA", at positions 339 to 795 of the family's 1533-position model. The record is from RNAcentral.